Small nuclear RNA from Leptobrachium leishanense (Leishan spiny toad), 63 nucleotides. Its record names the gene U7. It matches the Rfam family "U7 small nuclear RNA". Rfam says of the family: Animal histone pre-mRNAs are spliced by a different mechanism than nuclear pre-mRNAs and self-splicing introns. This processing involves the U7 snRNP, which contains only one RNA species: U7. NCBI's taxonomy places the organism in Eukaryota, Metazoa, Chordata, Amphibia, Anura, Megophryidae. The record is from Ensembl.
UUGUGAUUAUAGCUCUUUUGCUACUUGUCUAGAAGGUUUCUGCGGUCAGCGGGAAUCACCCAA